UACGUAGGCAGCAAGCGUUGUUCGGAGUUACUGGGCGUAAAGGGUGCGUAGGCGGCUUUUUAAGUCUGGUGUGAAAUCUCCCGGCUCAACUGGGAGGGUGCGCCGGAUACUGAGGGGCUAGAGUGUGGGAGAGGAAAGUGGAAUUCCUGGUGUAGCGGUGAAAUGCGUAGAUAUCAGGAGGAACACCGGUGGUGUAAACGGCUUUCUGGACCAUUGUUGACGCUGAGACACGAAAGCGUGGGUAGCAAACAGG
Molecule: ribosomal RNA, 253 nt
Filed under: uncultured bacterium
Lineage: Bacteria
Description: partial 16S ribosomal RNA
Rfam family: Bacterial small subunit ribosomal RNA
Source: RNAcentral